RNAcentral lists this transfer RNA (67 nucleotides) under Medetera sp. Qilemoge-2020. RNAcentral describes it as "tRNA-Asn". Lineage: Eukaryota; Metazoa; Arthropoda; Insecta; Diptera; Dolichopodidae. The record is from RNAcentral.
UUAACUGAAGCCAAAAAGAGGCAUAUCACUGUUAAUGAUACUAAUGAAAAAUAGAUUUCCAGUUAAA